AUGGAGAGUUUGAUCCUGGCUCAGGACGAACGCUGGCGGCGUGCCUAAUACAUGCAAGUCGAGCGGACGAAUCGAAAGCUUGCUUUUGAUUCGUUAGCGGCGGACGGGUGAGUAACACGUGGGCAACCUGCCCUGUAGACGGGGAUAACACCGAGAAAUCGGUGCUAAUACCGGAUAACACGAAAUGUCGCAUGACGUUUCGUUGAAAGACGGCGCAAGCUGUCGCUACAGGAUGGGCCCGCGGCGCAUUAGCUAGUUGGUGAGGUAACGGCUCACCAAGGCGACGAUGCGUAGCCGACCUGAGAGGGUGAUCGGCCACACUGGGACUGAGACACGGCCCAGACUCCUACGGGAGGCAGCAGUGGGGAAUAUU
This 373-nucleotide ribosomal RNA is filed under the name Oxyrrhis marina. RNAcentral describes it as "partial Bacterial small subunit ribosomal RNA". It matches the Rfam family "Bacterial small subunit ribosomal RNA", at positions 1 to 365 of the family's 1533-position model. Lineage: Eukaryota; Dinophyceae; Oxyrrhinales; Oxyrrhinaceae. The record is from RNAcentral.